Long non-coding RNA from Patella vulgata (common limpet), 907 nucleotides. RefSeq lists it as uncharacterized. The transcript has 3 exons. The record is from RefSeq and is a predicted model, not a curated record. Lineage: Eukaryota; Metazoa; Mollusca; Gastropoda; Patellidae.
CAGAUUUUAUGGUCAGACACCGGGGAGCUGGUCGUGGUAGUCAUAUCACAGGUCAAGGUGUGCAUAAUCAAAGAAUCGAAAGAUUUUGGCGUGAUUUAUGGUCUGGAUGUGUGUGUUACUUUUAUAACAUAUUCUGCUAUUUAGAAGGACAAAAUAUGUUAGAUGUUUCAAGCGAAUCAGACAUGUAUUCACUUCAUUACAUAUAUCUACCAAGAAUUCAAAAGCAUCUAGAUGAUUUUAGAGCAGCAAAUAUAAGAAGACCACGUAGAACUGAAAAUAAUAAAAGUCCACUUAAGUUAUGGAUAGGGGGUCAAAUGAUAGAUACAAGAGAAAAUCUUAUUUCAGAGGAGGACAUUUCACUCUAUGGAUCAAGUCAGGAAGGUUUAUGGACAGAGGAAGCCACAGACAAUGUUGUACAAGUUCCAGAUAUGUCUUCAUUAUCGCCACAAAAGUUUGCUGACUUAAAGAACUUAGUGCAACCAAUGGCAAUAUCAGAAAAUCAAGGGAUGGAUUUAUUUCUGAUGACUAAGGAAUUCGUAAUUAACAACAUGUAAACUUUGAAACAGUCAGUUCUAUGGAUAUACUACUUCUGCGUUUAUUUACAUAGUAGUAGUAAAAUGUGUUUAACGUUGUGGUAUCGCAGGCAAUUGUCCCUGCUGGAACUGACUCGGUUCCAUAAGGUAGUGCACGACUGAACCAUCUACUCAAGUUAAUCGUGCAUAAUGACAGUCCAUAACAGGGGCAAGGGAAACCAUUGGAGGGGUACAUAUCUUUCAUAGCCAGGGAGGAUGAAAUGAACUGGGAUUUAACAUCCUACUUGUUCUGUGCUAAUGAAACAGACAUGUGCCAUGCAGUGUUCUUCUUUGCAUCUCUAUAACACUAUUAUUCAUACCAAGAAGAUAUACAA